This 70-nucleotide transfer RNA is filed under the name Sphaerodactylus elegans. RNAcentral describes it as "tRNA-Ser". It matches the Rfam family "tRNA". From Rfam's summary of the family: Transfer RNA (tRNA) molecules are approximately 80 nucleotides in length. Their secondary structure includes four short double-helical elements and three loops (D, anti-codon, and T loops). The record is from RNAcentral. Lineage: Eukaryota; Metazoa; Chordata; Lepidosauria; Squamata; Sphaerodactylidae.
AAGAGAAAAGUACUAUUGGGUAUGGUCGACUUGAAAUUGACUGGAGGGGGUUCGAGACCCCCUUCUCUUG